AUCCGGUUGACGAGUUCUGAACAGGACGAAACGCGCGUUUUGGAU
Molecule: non-coding RNA, 45 nt
Filed under: Schistosoma curassoni
Lineage: Eukaryota; Metazoa; Platyhelminthes; Trematoda; Strigeidida; Schistosomatidae
Source: RNAcentral